Molecule: long non-coding RNA, 528 nt
Organism: Lemur catta (Ring-tailed lemur)
Lineage: Eukaryota; Metazoa; Chordata; Mammalia; Primates; Lemuridae
Exons: 2
Source: RefSeq, a predicted model, not a curated record
UCCUCCCCUGGGAGGCCUGGGCUGGGGGCCGGGCCAGCCGCCAGCCCCUCUGGGCCUCAGCCUCCUGCUUGCAAGGAGAGGGCUGAAGGAGUUCCGGGGCUCCCAGCUCUCCCUAUGCAGUUGUCUGCCUGGCCUCAAGGAACCAAACACUGGCAGACACAGUUGCAAUGCCCAGAUGUUGGCAUUUCCAGGACAUGUUGAUUUGUGGAGAUGACCAACGGGAUCUUUAAAGCAGAACUGCCUGAAAAAAGCACAAACAGGGUUUCCUGGUUACUCCCACCCGAAGGGCAGAAGUGGGGCCUGUAGCUGGGUCUCCAGGGUGGCCGGGGGACAGAUGAGCCCCCAGGAGAGGCUGCCCUCCCCUGGUCCCUGGACCACAGCAGGGGCAGAGGAGGCAAAUGCUCACAGCCAGGUCUCUGUUGUAAGUGGUCAGUGCCCGAGCACUGCCUUUUCUUUGUUUUUGAGGUGUUGUGUUAUAAACAAUAUAAUGAAUUCCCAUGUGCCCAUUACUUAGCUUCACCAACUCAA